UCUGUGGCAUUGGCAAUACGCACUGCGUGAAGCCGAUUUAAAAAAAAUAAGCUAUCGUAAUUAAGUCGGAACGAACUGUUAUUUUUUCACAAAUUUACUUUCGUUUUUCAACAAUCUACAAACGUUCAGGCGUUUGCCUCAGACCGUUAUUUUGCUGGCAAAAACGCGUUUUUGACAAGAGCAGUUAGUCACGUAAAAAUUAAAAGCGUUCAUGUACAUGUCGAUCUCGACAUCUGUAUUCUGUGCAAAUUUUCAUAUUACUAAUGUUUACAUACAAUCAUUUUAUUUGUAAAAUUUUAAAUUAAUUCAAAUUCGUAGGAUCAUAAUAAUUCUUUAUAGUUUGUGUUAGGACAUUAAACCUAUUUCUUACUUUAUCUUUAAAAUUAUAAUGCAUUCAGUAGUAUCUUAAAUCUAGUAUAUCUAGAUUUAGUUGCAACUAGCAGAAAAAUUAGCAGUAGUGCAUACAAAUCUUAUCCCACUUUUUAACAUGACUGAAAAUAAGUGCUUGCCAUUAGUGUUGAUAAGCACUAGAAAUUUAACCUGUGUCAAAAAUUUUUUAGCUGAUUUAGUUGAAGACCAGACUGAGGGAAUCGAGACAAACGAAAGCCGCGUGUGGCGCAUACAAAAUAAGUACUACCGCGCCGAAGUGCGUCUGCUUGUCUGGCCAGAUGGAGAGCCACCACCGACUCACCUCGGUGGCCGUUUAGAAGCGCACGUCAUCCACUUGCUUGUAGAUGAGGGCGAGGAGGAGGCCGAGAGUCGUGCGACGGCUACGGAUACCGGAGGGGGCCGACCGCACAUCCGCCUGGCAGUCUUCGAGGGGCCUGAGACCGACGGUCUGGUCGCCUGGGGGCUGCGCCGCCGCUUCGAACUCGUGCCCCUGACGCCCAACGCCGCGUCAGACGACGAGUGCGGAGCGGACAGGGCGCGAGCCGCGCUGCACGCGCACUUGUGGCCCGGCCUCGAGCGAGUCGACUCGCGCGGCGCAACCUUCCGCCCUCCGGACUCGCUCUCGGGGAGCGGCGACGAAGCGGACGAAGGCGAAGAGGCGUGGGGCGAGUGGGAGGCGUGGGGACUGGUCCGGGCGGCGCGGGAGGCCCGCGGGGCUCUUGGUGCCGAGCCCGACGCCGAGCGGCGGCUGAGAGCGGAGACGCUGCUGCAGGCCUUUCUGUCCACGUUCCGACCCCGCGCUCCUUGAUGGGAAAUAUUUAUUAUGUCUCGUCUUGUGAGCCCACUCUUCUCUGCAAGGAGGCGGGAGAGGAUAGGGGGGACAAUUAGUUGAGCCAAGAUGGCUUUGGGUGCCCAACAAAAGUAAAUCACAAUAGUUUGUCUCAACAUUUUAUAUAAAAAAAUACAUUGAAAUGUGCGCUUUGGGCGGUCACUCAAAUCACAGAUACUGUUUAUUAUCUCUUUGGACGUAAUUUGGUAUUGAACCUUUGCUUACAACUACAUGGCAGGUGUCCAAGACAACCGAGGGCUGUCUGCAGCUCACCAAAUAUUCUAAUCUUCCAACAGCAAAUAAGUUUUAAUUGUAAAUAUUUUUCUUACUUAUCUAUUAAUAAAUAUAUCCAUCACAACAAACAGUGAAGUGGUCGUUAACUUAAUUAUAAAGUUCCGUUCAUACUUAUUCAGGUUUCGGCCAGAAGUAUAAUUAAGCUUUGCUCCACGAUGCAACAACAGGCAACAAAUAAAUAUUACGUACGAAUCACAACCUCGUCACGACACAACGUUUCUCAAAGGCACGCGGCGAUAUCGAUAGUUUAAAACGGAAUGUGCGUCGAAAAUCAAACGCUAAGCGGGUCCCGGAGGGGGCCGAUGCAGCAGAUGCGGCGAGGCCAACAGCGCGGCAAAGUAUUGGCGCGUCAGCCGAGCCAGGAAGUGAUCGCGCGCGACGCUCGAAGGCCACCAGCGCUCGAGGAAGCCGAUGUGGCCCCCGCGCCACGGGACGGCCAGAGCCACGCGAGCGCUCGCGCCCGCUUCUCGCGCCGGCAGCGCCGCCAGCGGCUGGAACGGGUCAUCGGCCGCGCACACGCACAGCAGCGGCGCCCGCACCUGCCCCAGUUUGUCGCGCAGGUUGGCCUCGCGGUAGUAUUGCUCAACCGACGCGAACCCGAAGUGUGGCGCCGUGAACGCCGCAUCGAACUCGCGCACCGAGCGGCUCGUCUCGGCCGCCGACCAGCGCCCGGCCAGCGCACCGUGCGCCCGCAGCGUGCGACGCAGGCAGCGCGUCAUGUGCCAAGACAGCGGCGCGUUGACCGGCCGCGCGAGGCACUCGGCCGCACGCUCCACGUCCAGCGGCGAAGAUAGAACGAGCGCGGCGCGCACCCGAGUUGUCUCUCCGCGCGAGGCGAGAUGGUGCGCCAGUAUGAGACCGCCGAGCGACACGCCGACGGCCAGCAGCGGCCCGCCUCCCGCGCGCUCCUCUGCCGCCACGAGCGCCGCUGCCAAGUCCUCGUGCGACAGCGCGCAGUAGAGCUUCGGGGUCUGCGAACGCGAAGGAGGUUGAGGUUGAGUGUGACGUCGGAGAUGCUUGGACGCGGCCGCGGUCACUCACCGUGAGCUGCAAUCCGCCAAGUCCGCGGUUGUUAAAGACAGCACAGCGCGCGCCGAGGCCCCUCGCGGCGGCGGCCACGCAGCGCACGUAGUCGGCGUGGGCCCCUCCGGUCAACCCCGGCACGACGACCACGACGGGAGCUUCUCCGUCCGUAAGCCCGGCCCCUUCCUCCUCGACCCAGUCGAGCGCGACCUGUCCGCCGUCUGGCAGCCGCACGAUCUGUCUGCAAACAACUCCGUUCGUCACGAACAACACGACAGCCGGGCGUUCUUGCUCGGUCUGGAGGUCACCGACCUGGUGGUGGUGAGCGGCGGUAGGAGCCGCGUGCGCAGAAGCGAUGCCAGCACUGUCUGCAGUCGCGCCUCAACGCACCAAGGUGUCGGCCAGAAAGGCUCACGUAGCGUUUCAACUUGCGACUGCAGCAAGUCCCGAAAUUCACCAUCACCACAUAUCAGCAAUGGUUUCUGGAACAUUUACAUAAAUUAUUAUAUUAUAAAACAAUUGUAAUUCACCUAAUUUAUAAGAUAGCUAAAUAUAUUAUAGUAUUUUGUUGUGUAAGUAAAUGUCAUGUACUGUAUGAGAAAUAAAAAUCUUAAACUCUUA
This is a long non-coding RNA of Pieris brassicae (large cabbage white), 3157 nucleotides long. RefSeq lists it as uncharacterized. The record is from RefSeq and is a predicted model, not a curated record. Lineage: Eukaryota; Metazoa; Arthropoda; Insecta; Lepidoptera; Pieridae. The transcript has 3 exons.